Molecule: ribosomal RNA, 315 nt
Filed under: Pseudomonas putida
Lineage: Bacteria; Pseudomonadati; Pseudomonadota; Gammaproteobacteria; Pseudomonadales; Pseudomonadaceae
Description: bacterial SSU rRNA
Rfam family: Bacterial small subunit ribosomal RNA
Source: RNAcentral
GGGGUAAUGGCUCACCAAGGCGACGAUCCGUAACUGGUCUGAGAGGAUGAUCAGUCACACUGGAACUGAGACACGGUCCAGACUCCUACGGGAGGCAGCAGUGGGGAAUAUUGGACAAUGGGCGAAAGCCUGAUCCAGCCAUGCCGCGUGUGUGAAGAAGGUCUUCGGAUUGUAAAGCACUUUAAGUUGGGAGGAAGGGCAGUAAGUUAAUACCUUGCUGUUUUGACGUUACCGACAGAAUAAGCACCGGCUAACUCUGUGCCAGCAGCCGCGGUAAUACAGAGGGUGCAAGCGUUAAUCGGAAUUACUGGGCGU